RNAcentral lists this ribosomal RNA (695 nucleotides) under uncultured Alphaproteobacteria bacterium. Its description in RNAcentral is "bacterial SSU rRNA". It matches the Rfam family "Bacterial small subunit ribosomal RNA", at positions 28 to 769 of the family's 1533-position model. The record is from RNAcentral. Lineage: Bacteria; Pseudomonadati; Pseudomonadota; Alphaproteobacteria.
AGCGAACGCUGGCGGCAGGCUUAACACAUGCAAGUCGAACGGGCCCUUCGGGGUCAGUGGCAGACGGGUGAGUAACACGUGGGAACGUGCCCUUCGGUUCGGAACAACUCAGGGAAACUUGAGCUAAUACCGGAUACGCCCUUCGGGGGAAAGAUUUAUCGCUGAAGGAUCGGCCCGCGUCUGAUUAGCUAGUUGGUGAGGUAAUGGCUCACCAAGGCGACGAUCAGUAGCUGGUCUGAGAGGAUGAUCAGCCACACUGGGACUGAGACACGGCCCAGACUCCUACGGGAGGCAGCAGUGGGGAAUAUUGGACAAUGGGCGCAAGCCUGAUCCAGCCAUGCCGCGUGAGUGAUGAAGGCCUUAGGGUUGUAAAGCUCUUUCGUCCGGGACGAUAAUGACGGUACCGGAAGAAGAAGCCCCGGCUAACUUCGUGCCAGCAGCCGCGGUAAUACGAAGGGGGCUAGCGUUGCUCGGAAUCACUGGGCGUAAAGGGCGCGUAGGCGGCCAUUCAAGUCAGAGGUGAAAGCCCAAGGCUCAACCUUGGAAUUGCCUUUGAUACUGUUUGGCUUGAGACCGGAAGAGGUAAGUGGAACUGCGAGUGUAGAGGUGAAAUUCGUAGAUAUUCGCAAGAACACCAGUGGCGAAGGCGGCUUACUGGUCCGGUUCUGACGCUGAGGCGCGAAAGCGUGGGGAGC